CGCCUCUUGAAUCUAAUAAGAGGUCCAGCCUGCCCAGUGACUCUGUUCAACGGCCGCGGUAUCCUAACCGUGCGAAGGUAGCGUAAUCACUUGUUCUUUAAAUGAGGACUAGUAUGAACGGCACCACGAAGGUUAUACUGUCUCCUUUUUUUGAUCAGUGAAACUAAUCUCCCCGUGAAGAAGCGGGGAUAAGCCUAUAAGACGAGAAGACCCUAUGGAGCUUUAAACAACAUAACACUCACCUUACACUACAAAAUCUCAGAACAGAAAUUUGCCAGGUGAGAUGACUAUAAGUUUUCGGUUGGGGUGACCACGGAGUAAAACGCAACCUCCAUGUUGAAAGAAUAUAAUUCUAAACUAAGACUCACUAAUCAAAGUAUCAAUAUUUUGACAUCAAUUGACCCAAUACUUUUGAACAACGAACCAAGUUACCCUAGGGAUAACAGCGCAAUCCACUUUAAGAGCCCCUAUCGACAAGUGGGUUUACGACCUCGAUGUUGGAUCAGGGUCUCCAAGUGGUGCAGCCGCUACUAAAGGUUCGUUUGUUCAACGAUUAAAACCCU
This 563-nucleotide ribosomal RNA is filed under the name Ansonia thinthinae (Thin Thin's stream toad). Its description in RNAcentral is "partial 16S ribosomal RNA". It matches the Rfam family "Bacterial large subunit ribosomal RNA", at positions 1819 to 2597 of the family's 2925-position model. Lineage: Eukaryota; Metazoa; Chordata; Amphibia; Anura; Bufonidae. The record is from RNAcentral.